Molecule: long non-coding RNA, 17249 nt
Filed under: Eucalyptus grandis
Lineage: Eukaryota; Viridiplantae; Streptophyta; Magnoliopsida; Myrtales; Myrtaceae
Description: long non-coding RNA (EGRA_LNC001807)
Source: RNAcentral
GCCUUCGACUCCUACUUCACCAAGCCGUGGUCGGCCUCCUUCAUAUCCUCGCCCACCUCGAUCCUGACCACCUCGUCGCCCCCGAUCUCGCCCCCGACCAACUCGCCCCCGAUGUCCCCGAACCAACGCGGCGGCUGCUGCGGGUCGCCCGGAUCGGUGAGCGAGCUGGUGGCCUGCAUGAGGAAUAUGCAGAUCGCCAAGAUGAAGAUGAGCCCCCGCGGGCAGAUGGGGGGGUCUCUCUUCGGGUCCCCGCUCCGACCCGGGUGCCACCUUGCGGCGCCGGUGACUCCCAGGGCCGAGUCUUCACCGCGGUACGGGCAACUCGGCGGUGGAGGCGGGCUCUUUGAUCUGUGGGAGUCUCACCGUCGCUGCGAGGAGGAGCCUUCCAUGGAAAGGGUCGAGUCCGGGAGAGAUUUGAGGGCUAAGAUGUACGCCAAGCUCAGCAAGGAGAAUUCCCUCGAUGGCGCCGACCUGGUAGGGACCGGAGCUAGUCCCGACGUGGGGUGGGUCUUUGAGCUGGUCAUGUGAAGGCCGAAGAAGCACCUUCGAGUCCUCCCCGAGUCGACUUGGAGCUCGAAUUUUGUUUGGGUCGAAAGAAGUGAUUUUUUGGGGGCUGGUGGGCGGUGUUCAGCAAUCGGGUGGCCUGUUGAUUAAUCUCUGACUCGGAUGUGUGAAUAUAUCUCGUGUUCAUUUCCGUUGAUGAUGAUGAUUACCUUCCUUCUUCUCAAGGUGUAAAUAUUGCCUAGCGGGAGAGAGAUUUCAAGUCUCUGUUUUGUGGUCCGAUGACUUUCCAGUUACCUCUCUUUGUAAAUGAAGUUCCAGUAAGCAUUCUUAAAAUAUUCGCAAUGCAAUUGCAGAUUUCUGUAUAGGAAGAAACUAGAACGUGGAAGUUCGAUCUGGGGUUUUGGCUUUUUUGGGGCUUGCAUUGUUGAUUAUCGUUUUUUGGUCAAGUCCUUGAAAUCUCUGUUUCGUCUCAUUUUCUCGGAUUAUAAAUGCUAAUUUCCCUUUCAUGAGUGCUCUGUUCUUUACUCUGCUCUGUUCAUGCUUUCUUACUUGUUCGGACUCCAGUGAGAGGAAUUAGUCACAUCAUUAGCACAGUGAUUACGAGAUCAAGAGUGGUGAUUAAAGAAACAUAUCUCUCCACCCGACUCUGUCCCCAGCAUGCGGAAAAGACCGGUUCAGCACCUGGGUUUAUCUUCCAACUCCGUAUAACAGAUAAAGAAAAGCCAGAUGAGGUUCUUGAUGUGGACGUGUUUGGGUCGAGUUGAUAAGAGCGGAUGAUCCCCAUCCUUAUCUGCUAAAGCUUUUUCUCGCCUUUUCCCGGUUUUGAAAAAUGGAAGAUUUGAUCACAGUAAUCAGGAGAUCUUCUUUUGUCGUGCCACUUGCGUUUUGACUGGAGUGUGUUGAUGAUGAUGAUGAUGAUGAAUUAGGUGGGGGAAUGGGACAAGACAUGGUCAAGCAGCGACCGUGUAGCAUUGGCUCCCCCACCUCGCGAAACGGUCUGCUCUGCGUUAUCUUAUUAUGUACAUUGGUUAGUCUCGUCGUUUGAAAUGGGUUUGUAAUUUGAAUUCGAUUGGAUUGUGUUCUAGAAUCCGAGUGACUCGAGUGAUUAUUAAUGGAUGUAUAUCCAUAAAAAGUAAAAGCUCGAUUCAAAACUCAAUACUAAAUUGAAUCAACAGAUUCGAGUUAAGAUUGCGUGUUAAACAAGUUGGCUUAAUUGAGUUUCGAUUGCUUGACUUGAUUUGAUUGCAAUUUUAAUUAUUUCAAAUUUUGGUUCAACGUGACAAAAUUGAACUGGAAAAAUUCUUCCCAUUUUCCAAGAAAAAGAGAGCCAUGUAUUUUUUUCGCUCAAAUUUGCCUCAACGAUGAAAUCCCUCAUGAAGUGGUUCUUCGAUUUUAUUAAGAAGGAUAAGUUUUAUAGCGAUUCCUAAUAGGAAGCAUCGCAAGUGUACUAGGAAAUCAAUGAUAUACUUUAAAAUGGAGAUACAAUAUCGGAACUCAUGCAAACACUUGUAUUUAUAGGGUGUUGGGAGGCAUGGGGUUCCCGCUCCCCAAUGAGCCGUCAAAGGGUUCUUAUAGCUUUAAUUUAUACUAUAUUGAUAAUUUUGGUUUGAGUCCAUGAAUAAUUUACUUGUGAUAUAUAAUUUUUCUCUUGCAAUUGAGGGUUGAAACAGAGAGGUGGGAUGUGCUAAUUAUAAUGGAAUUCUCUAUUGGAUUCUACUGGAUGUGGCCUUAAUUUAUUAUGAAUUGGAAUAAACCUUAUAUUUUGAUUAAUCUUUCUUACAUUUAUUCUCUAUUUCAUUGUGUUUGAAUGCAUGACCCUAACAUAGUUUUCACAGCAUAAUUGCCUACCAUUAGUUCUUAAACAAUUUUAAUCAUGCCUUCACAUCUUCGUAUCUUCAUGUCACCAUGACUUCUCAUCUCCAGGUGGUUGCUAAAUUUUGAUAAAUGCUUAGCUUCAGAAUUACAAGAAGUUACAACAACACCUCUCCACAAUAAGCUUAGGUAGUGCAUAGGAACAUUUUUGUUUCUCUAUUCUUUUGUUCUUUUGUUCCUAACAAAAAAAAGAAUAGAAAUCUGUUUGGUAAUAUUAACUAAUUUUUCUAUUUCCUAUAAUAAAAAAAUAACAGGGAAAUAGAUUUGGAAAAGAAAAAAAAAAGUAAACUUCUUAUUCUUGAGAACAAUUUCUAAAAAUAAGCAUUUUUUUUAAUUUUUAAUUUUCUUUUCUUUUUCUUCCUUGCCGCUCCAUGCAGGUUGCCAUUCGCCGGCUAGUUGCCUCUCACCACCAUUGGCUUAGUUAAAAUUAAAAUAAAAAAGAAGAAAGAAAUGAAACAAAAACUGACCGAUUCCCAUGUAAACUCUAGAACCAAUAUGAGAAUUGAUUGACAAGAUAGGUUCUAGGGUACGUAGGUUCUGGAUUAAAAAAACUGAGGAACCGGUUCCAAUUGAUCUGGAGCAAUCCUAAAAUUGUUCACCCCUAGUUACAUGUCAAUGAUUUCAUCUCAAGACACCAAAUUUUGUUGUCGAUAGCUUCCUUGGUUAUCCAUGCUCUUCAAGCUAUCCACAUUUAUCUAAAGGGGCUUAAAUAUAUGAAAAUAUUUCUACUCAUCAAGUUGUCAACUGUUCUUUUCAUCGAUGACUUUUGCUCUUUACCAAUCUCUAUUCUUAUCAACUAAGUCUUAUCAUUUUUUAGUGUAAACACAUAGUUGUAUCUGUAAAGUGAUUUAUGCGACUAGUAUUCUAAACUUGUAAAUGAUGAAAGGAUGACUUCCUUGUUCUCACCUUUCUCUUUAAACGACAUUCAAAGGGGGUAGUAGAGAGAGACAUGCCAUGUGGGGACAAGACUUCAAUUUCAAGAUUCAAUAAAGAAGCAAGGAAAAGGCCGACAAAGUAGGUGGCAGUUCCAAGAUCUUGGGUUAAUCUUUAAUCCUUCUCCCAUCGAACUCACCAAACCAAAGGCCCUAAAAAGCAAUAUACAUGCACCCGUACCCUCCUAAAGAUGUCCCGAUACAGCUUAAUUUCUCACACUUCUCGCAUAAAUGUCGCACUGCACAAAAACUUUUGUAUGUCUUUUGUGUAAUACGAUCAAUUGAGAUUUGUUCUCUCACGAACUCUCCUGGGUUCUAAGAAUUUGAUACUCGGGAACUUACGAAAGUGUCAACAUCUUAAUUGCUCGACGUACAUAAUUAUGUGUUUUUACCGAACUUUGUUCUUCUUUUUUUUUUUCAAUCACUCGUUACUUGAGUGAUCUUUUGAAGAAUAUAAUUCCUGUGGAGCCGAAGAGAUCAAGGGCGCAGGCUUGAAUUCCGAGGUACAGUCAAUUGGAGUUUCUUUUUCAUAGUGGCGACGAAUCAUUAUCGGCCGGAGGAAACUGAGGGAAGAAACAUUAUCAAAGCAAAAGAACAGGAUGCCGUGUCUACCCAAAUAUAGUCACGAUUUUGCGGCUCGAAUCGAUGCUACGAGUGGCGUAAAGCUAGAGGACGAUAUCCAAUCCAUGAUCGCAUUAUUUCCUUCAUCAAGAGCAGCUGAAUGGUAGCGUCCCAAACGUGUGAUGGCCCCAGUCGCCUUCCUUCUCGAGAAAGCAAAAACACAAAGAAGACGGAGAAGAAUCGAAUUCAAACGCCACCAACAGCAGAGACGAGUCCAAAUCGUGGGAGGGCAUCGCACGUCCGCGGGCGGUGGUUAGGCGACAAUAUCCAAAGCUGCUGUCAACUCAGCGGGUAUCAAAAUUAUGGAUAAGGGAGUCGUGACCACCUCGCUCCGGUCCCUUUCAUGGGACUACAAACGCCUUUGUCGUUUUUGGACGGCAUUGUCUCUCCUUUCGAUGACACUUGCGAUAAAUCUAUUAAAAUCUUAGGAUAAAAUUGGAUAAAUGUGACAUGUACGUAGUAUCUUAAUAUUUUUUUAUAACACGAAAUUUAAUGUAUUGUGAAAUGCAAUGAGAAUGUAUUAAUUUGAGAUUUUUUAUGAUGUUGAUCUUAUGUAAUUAUUUAUGAAUCGCUAGAUUUUAUCGAUGACUUUUUUUAAUUGAUUUUUUGUUUGGAAAUUUUGUGGUGCUCCUCUCUUGCAUUCCCACUCAGCUCUUCAUUUUCCAAGUUGCUGUCCAUUGAAGCAAACACCUUCAACGGCCACGUGGGAGAUUUGGGAUUCGGAUAGGAUCAAGAAAACCCCGAGGAGCAUAUCUCGAGUGGGGUUCUGAAUUUUCCUAUUCUCAGAUUUCAUUUUUCUUAUCUAAUCUCGAUUGCAUAUCUUGAUUAGAGAGUCUCCAAGAUUGAUUGACUUUGAAGCUAGCAAAUGAUUGAUGGACAUGUCGAGAGUUUCAUGUGAUGUCUACACGUGGGGAUUUUAUCAUUCUCUUGGAUAGAUAUCAUGUGGAACCCAUGUAUUAUUUUAUAUAUUGGGCCUGGAUUUUAUGUUUAUGUUUGAAAAAUAUUGGUUACGAGAGUUCUCUUCUCGUUUUUGCUAUCUCGAGGACUGGGAGGAGAGAGGUUGUUGUUGCAUCUUUGUAGGAGGGGGCCACAUCUCUGAAUUUUGUAAAGGAAACCAUCAAUGAGGUGGGGGAUGAACAUGGAGUGUGUGGUUUGCCUCCAAAAUGGCCAUAGCUUUGUCUUGAAUGGACCUAGUCGUGAAAUUGAUUUGAUUGAAUGAGAUGAGAUAAGACUAGGGUAGGAUAACAUUAUGCAAAUCAAAAUGUUAAGGAUAUGAAUUUGACGUGUCAAAAAAAAAAAGAUUACUAAAAUAUGUCACUAAUUGUAAGUAUGAUGGAUAAGGAAGUGGCUUAUGUUCAAAUUUAGAAACCCAACAAAUUCGAGGUAUUAUUUAGUGGACUGAUAACGAGCAUACAAAAUUUACAAUCAAUAACUUUGUAUUUUAGAGUACCUAUAAUAUAAUUAAGAAAGGAAACACUAUUGGACACUAGCUGAAUGAAAGAUUGACAAUAUGUUAUGAUAUCUCAAGAAAUAUAAUAUAGCUAUUUUGACAUACAAUAUUUACUCGAGAUAGUAUUGUGACUGGAAUAUACGUCUUUAAAGAGAACAAUAUUGAUGCUUUGGAUUGUAGAUCAUAGAGAAAGUGACUUUCCAAAAGAGUCUUCCAUUGAGUCAUUUGAUUUCGACAUUGCUAACCCAUCUUUGAUGAAAUCGAGAGAAGGAGAGAUGUGGUAGGGCUAGAUCUAUCAUCUAGAGGGGGUGAAUAUGUGACAAUGUAGAAUUGAAAUAAAAUUAAGAUUAUUGCAAGAGGACAACGUUUGGAGACAAGCUAUGCAGUGCUCAGAUCUUUUCAAUGUGCAACAAUCUAUCACAAAAUAUAAGCAAGAGAUAAAGGGAUAGAAAAAAAUUGUACACAACAAGUUUAUAGUGGUUUGGUAUUGACAAAUUUAUGUUCACUCUCUCAUGCUAACAGCUUAUCAUCUAGAUUUCACUAUGAUGAAUCGAUAAUAAGUUACAAGGACUGAGUAUUCACUAUUCAAACUAGGGUGAAAGAUUGUUUGAUCUCACACUCAUGAUCUCUAAGAAAUUACAAACUAUAGCUCACAAAAGACAAAUGUCUUUUAAGCAAAAGACUAUGUUGAAUUUUGGAAUUCAAAACUUUGAUAUUCUCUUGGCAUCCUUUAACAUUACAAGUUUCUUUUGCAUUCCUCAAUGUCCAAGUUGAUUGUUGGACCCAAGCUCUAAGGAUCAUUCAUCUAAUAAAUCCAUUGAACUUGAAUGUUGAAGAAGAUCUAAUUGCUUAUUGCUAAGAAUGAAGUUUCGGAAAAGAUCUACUAUCCAUACAGCAGAUAGGGUUUCCAUAAGUUGAAUCAUUCCUUUAGAUAACAUUCCGUCUACAAUUGAUUGUCUUGUUGAUAGAUUGAGAUAUUCCAAAUAAGUAAUAAUGCAUUUAAUAUCUUCCUUUCAGACAAUCGAUAUUUAUAAGGUAAGGAAUCUAUGCUAAUUUUCUAGCCGUAAGCACAAUGAUUCAUAGUUGAACUAAUAUCCUUAUUUCGUUGAGAUUGAAUAUUAAGGAUUCAAUGCAUCCUUGAGUCUGAUAAGUAAAUUCUGAUGAUAAAUUUCAAAGUUUCCACCUAGAAAAGCUUACCAUCGAAAUCAAAGGACAACUAAGAAAUAUUUUGUCAAUCUUCAAAAUUAAUUAGGGAGUUUUCCUUGACAAGAUGAUCCCCAAUAAUCAACCAAAAUACCACUCAAUGCAAAUGCACAAAAGAAAUGUCUUGUAGAUCUAUGAAGCACUUAUACUGUCCUGGACUUUUCGUGUUGUGUAGGACACUCCAACAUGUAUCCGAUAAUUUUCAACAUUUUUCAGCCCUCAGUUAAUAUGUGUCGACAAAUUCGACACCUGGUUAACUCUCCCAAUAUUCUUUGACACUCAAGUCUAGAAUUCCGACAUGCGAGUUCGAAAUUCCGAUAAACACCGAGUCAAUCAUAAAAUUUUCCAAUAAAUGAGGGGUCAAAAUGUAAGUAUGUAAAAAAAAAUAAUAAUAAUAACAAAAGGAGCCAAAAAUGAAUUUACACUAAAAACAUUAAUUUACCAUUUGUUAAUACCAUUCAUAGUUUAUUUGACAAAUUUAACUCCUUUCAAAUUAUCCAUAAAACUUAAAGGUAAAAAAGAAAAAGAAAAAAAAAGCUAUCAACAUUCUAGACUUGCGUGUCAAAGCAUGUUAGAAGAGACUUGAUAAUUUAGCAUGUAUAUAUAAAAAUAUACAUUUAAUACACGUGUCUCAACAUGUUGGAAUUCUCUAAUUUUUUAAAAAUAAAGUGUCGGCUUGUCAUGUUGUGUCAUGUCGUGUGUUGAUAUUGAUAUCGGUGUUGGUGCUACUUAGAUGUAGAUUCAAUGCAGCCUUCUAAUUGCACCAUGCCGUUGUUCUUAGAUUUGGCCAUUUUGGAAUUGACAUACCAUGCUCUACAAAUCGACGAUGUGGUCUGUCAUGCGCAUUACAAGUGGACGCCAUCGAUACUCAUGCUUUUCAGUUUGCAUUGCUAAUUUAGGUGGGUAAACAAGAAGAUGCAACAUGGGCGUUGACCGUUAAAAAUGGGAACUUCUGCUCGUUGUACGUCGUGCACUGGACAGAAGAAAUAUUCAUGUGAACAGGCUAAUUGAAGCACUUGGGUUCUAAAACUAGCAGUCCAGCAAGGUCGGGCUUUCUCUGCUAAAGCAGCUGUUCAGGCCCAUGUAGCAUGGAAGAUGUCAUGUUUUAGACACGGACUUAGACACGGACUUUCUUUCAGGUCGUCCUGCUUCUCUCCAUAUAAGCAACGAAAGCUCUCUAUUCUCUAUCAUCGCCAAAGCGAAGGGAUAGUAUGUAAUUGAGUUGUUUUCACUUACCAUACUUCAAUGUUCUCUGCUCAUAAAUUUUAGUUUCUCAUGGGGAGAUACUUUUGACCGAUUUUAUGUAAAAGUUUCCUUUCCCUUUUUUUGGGUGGAAUGUAAAUUUAUACGGGUCGUUGACAUAACAUGACGAGGAGUAAUGCCACAUAAAACCGUUUUCAGCUUCUCUAGAAGCUUCGUGAGCGAGUGGAGAGGAUCGAGGUGAGCAAAGAAUGCAACUGCCUAAUUAUGGGCAAAACUAGAAGGGCACAAAUGCAUUUCUCACGAAUUUCAUGGAUUAAUUUGGUUUCUUGCAGAUUGAGUUCGUCUUCAGGCAAAACGAAUGCAACCCAUUUCAAAACUACUUCAUGCAAUUCUCCAAUAUGAUUUUCUGCUUGAUGUUUCUUUAUAGUUUUUCAGAUUUUUCAUCAUUUUCUAGAUUUUUACUUGUUGAAGUUUUGACAAUAACCUUUUAUAUUAUAAGUGCAAAACAACGUUGUUUUGUUGCUGACGUGGCUAAAUAAGUGAUAUAAAAAUUAAUUAAAUUAAAUUUAAAAUCAAAUUUUACAAAAAAAAAAGGAGGAAGAAGAUGAAUAGCGGCUGAGGGCUCAAGCCUUGUUGCCGCCACCUCCUAGCCCUCGUCGGGAAGGGUCGGCCACGGUGUCGGCCACCGUCAGCGACCCCCUGGUGACUGUGGGGAGGUGAGGACAGCAAAGGUUGAGCCUCAGUUGCUCUUCACCUUCUUCAUUUUCCUUAUUUAUUUAUUUAUUUAUAAAUUUGGUUGUUAAUUUAAUUAAUAUUUAAAUUCAAAUUCAAAUAUGUACCAAAACGACAUCGUUUUUGCACUUCUUUGCUGAGUCAGCUCUCCGCGCGGGCUACGUAGGUGAGCAAAAUUAAUCAAAAAUUACCACGUAGGUGAGCAAAAUUAAUUAAAAAUUGCCAUGUAGGAUUUUCGGCAGGGUUCAAUGGAGAUGACACUCAAGUCCAAUUUUUUUAAAAAAAUAAUACUUAAGUAUUUCUUUCCUAAUUUUUGAUAGUUUAGUAUUUUUUUUGUGUCAAGUUUUGACACUUGAACUAUUCUUCUUUCUAUAUUUAGAGAAGAUCACAAUUAUGAAGCUCGGAAUCGUUUCGGAGUGAAAAUAGAGAGGAGGCUUUGCAAAGGAGCAGCUGAAAGAGAUGCGACUCCUUUACAUCUGACGACAUCUCGACUACACCAUGUAAAGAAUGAAACUCAGAGCAAUUCAUGGGACUGCCCAGCAGUGCCAUUUGCAAGCGAACCAGACAAUGCAAAUGUCGGUUUUGUUUUGCUCUGAAAGCUAUUGGAUUAUCCGAUCCAUGAAACAACAUUGUUUUUGUACGCUUCAAGUAGGCAUCGAGUGCCACGUUCUGGGACAAGCUAGCAAUUCAGAAGCAUUCUCAUUAACUAACCAAGAUAUAUAAUCAUCAGUUGUCAGAGGAUACAUAUAUCUAGCCACUACAGUGUAAUUGCUAAUCCGAUGAUAUGGUUCCAUGAUCAUAUUCAGUAUUCAGAUCCUAAAUUGAUUACAUUGCAUCAAUGUCAAAAGAAGAACUGAGGCAAUCAAUAGAAAGAGGAAAUGUUUCAUAAGUAAAAUAGUGGCAACACCUAGCUAGCUCAAUCAUCUGUUCACCAAUUGAGGAACACGGAUGAUCAGGCGACACUUCUGGGAAUCACCUUCAAUGCGAACAUGGAAAUCUAUUUGUUAAUUCCUAACCACCGAUAACAAAGGGCUAACUAAGCACAACCAAUUUGAAAGUAAGUGGGAUUCUAAAGCCACGUUCACGUAAAGACCACGGAAGGGUUUUGGACGUCAUCUUCUUCUCCAAGCCGCCAAGACUAGUAUUUUCUAUGGAGCUUCCAAUUUUAUGUUUCCUUUUAAAAUUAUUUUUCGUCUGUGUCGGUAUGUAAAAGCUUAAGUUCUUGAUUUGUCUCUCAUUUAUCGCUGUACAUUUUCAAAAUGGGGGUUCAACCGGGCUGAUUUUGACCAUCUUAAAGUUUUAGGUCAUGGAGCGUAUACCAACAGGGCGCGUGGUGGUUGAGAGUGAACAAGAUGCCUACGAUUUUCACAAUAGAUAGCUGAAGUAGGGUUCUAUAUGAUUUAUGUAGUGCCCUUCCUUUUACCGAGUGCUUUUUGAUAUUAGUAAUAGCAAAUAUCACUUUGUGGAGACUCCGUAAUUUCACGCAUCGUAAAAUUGAUUAUCGUUUACAUCUUUUUCUCUUUUCAAUGCAAAUUGAAUGUAGCUCAACAGACAAUGUGCAAAAUCCCACAAUUUUCUGAAGAAGAGAAGAAGAAUUGGAUCAGAUUCUCCAUGGUGGAUCAAACUGUUAAGAAUGAUGAAACUGAGAAAACGAUUUUUGAGAUUUCCUUUUGUUGCUUCGUGAUGCAAAAAGUUGAAGAGUUUUACAGGCAGUGCGAUCCUGAUUAGCUUUUCAUUUCUUCUGCCUCGUGGGGUUGUGGUUUUACUAAAUUUUUGUGUCGUGAAUUUGUUCGUUGAUAGGAAUUAGCCGUACCGCUACUUUUUAUUUUUUUGCUGAUGCGAUCUUAUAGUAACUUGAAUUUGGAGACUUUGUUAUACGUGUUUCGAGUGAGUUUCCCUUUGCAAAUGCACGACAGGCUAAAAAGGAAAGGGGAGUUUGAGCUUUUUGUUUGGUUUGUUACUUGAUUUCAUGCAGUGUGUUUGCUAAGUAACAUAACAUGAAGACGUGUAUUCUCAAGAAACUUCUCAUUAGCGUUCUUAUGUUUCUCUAAUUUCCCACCUCUGCAAAGUGACUCUUUUUGGAUUUUCAAUUUGCUUUGGAUCAUUUGAAUUCUGCAGCUUCCCUUUUCUUUGUUGUGAGACUACUGGGGAUAGUUGUUUCCCUGGACUUUAAUGUGGAAUCAUUUUAACGAAGAGUCCGUUUAAACAUAGAAGAUCAGUUCUAACAAUUCAUAACCCCUUGCAUUUGUAGUUUCAUAGCAAUGGCGAUGACCAAUUUUGGCAUUAAAUGUCUUAAAACAUCUUCUUUCUUUCAGUUGUUACUUACUGGUGAGCAGAUAAAAACUUAUUUUGCCACUUAUUUACUUGUAGAGUUGCUCUCAGUUGAAAUAUUUAAGCUGUAAGGAGGCUAAGCAGUGCACCUGUAUCUCUAGUUUUCUGAUAAGCGAUGCAAUGACAACCAGCCAAUAUAUAACCCUUGUUGGCAAAACCCUUGAUUGAUAAAGCUUUUCCCAGGUUAUUUCUAUAUGAUGCUGUUUCCUUUUAAGAAUCGGCAAUGUUACUUCUUUCUCGCUAAUACAUUCCAACCAAUAAAGAACCAUACGUUGGGGCAGAGUAACUCUUGUCGCUCCUCUUACAUGACAAAUAUUGACUCAAGAAUUCAAACAUACAUCUGUUCUGGACAAGUUAAGGUACAUUGCUUUAUUGCUUGUACUAAAUGCCGCAACUCUAACGUGUCGUUUGAUUGCUCACUCUUGAAUUUAGCUAUGACUCAUUGGCCCCCCAAUUUUAUUUAUUGUUGGUCAUCAAAAUGUUCUGUGAAAAUAAACAACAUAAGCUAGGCCUGUGCAUCUUCUGUAAAAUAAUGUGCUUUAUCCGCUACUUGAAUCUGAGGAUGAUUUUUUAAUGGUUCUUAUAAGCUAAAAGAAUCUGAUGCUUUCUGUUUAUGAAACUUGGAUGGACUGCAGAACAUGUUAUUUGAUGCGGCAGCUCAUUAGAAGGGAGGGAUAUACUAUCAACAAUACCAUUCGAUUCCGUUUUCUGUAUCUAGAUUUUGUUGAGCCCUUUUUUUUUUUUUUUAAAUCAUUAUGCUUUCUGGACGUUGUCUUGUUUAUCUACAUGACCCAACUAGUAAUUUCAAUCUUCCGACGUACUUGUACAUGUUCUGUUUGGUCUUUUGUAUAACUCCUCCUCCGCUUUAGAGAAGGAGAAGAUUUGUCUUUACGGAUUUCCAAGUGAGCAGUGGGAAGUCAACAUACCUGCGGAAGACAUGCCACUUGGGCCUCCAGAACUUGCCCUCGGCAUCAUUUUUGCCAGAGAUGGGAUGCAAGAGAAGGACUGGUUGUCGUUAGUUGCAGUUCCAGUGACACAUGGCUACUUCUUGUUAGAAAUUUGCGGAAAAUCAAGAUCCUGAUUAUCAGGAUCGAAUGCGGAAGUGUGUAAAAUUCUGUGCUAACCUCCAGCCAUUGAUGAAGUCGAGAAUUGAGUGCCUGUCGAACCAUCACAAGGAGGAGGAGGAGGAGGAGGAGGAGGACGCGCGGGCGCCGGGGGAGGAUGGGGUGCUGGGCUGCGACGAGUUCUGGAUGUACAAGUUUAAGGUGCGAAAGUGCGCCUGCGGGAGGUCACACGACUGGACGGAGUGAGAGUCCUUGGAAAAAGAGGUGCCAGCCUACUUCCAUUGACUCCCGUGAUCGAGGCAUGUCUUUGCUUGCGGAGUUUUGUGUUUGAGGUGGGUUUUCGAUCUCAUUCAAGCCUUCACCUAUCUAGGCAUUAGGUUGAUGUAGUAGGAUGGAAUAUGAUAAAUCAAGCCACUGUUGAAUCCUAUUCAACUCUUUGCUUUUGGGUGAGUUGUCAAGACAUUAGGUGAUUAGUAUAUGCAUGACAUGAUAAUUCACACGGACUUACUUUCCAUUGUAAGUCACUUUCUUUUGCAAGUUCUUUCUUCCACUGGCAUUCUCCAAUAUGUCGAGAUCUUGUGGUAAUUAAUAAUAUACGUCAUUCUUCUUUUGCCAUAGAUGAUCUUGCCAUGAAAGAUGCUAGGCACACAGAAAGAACCAAAAGGAGUUGUUGGACCUCCCCAUCAGCACUUAAAGGAGGUUGAAUUUCACAAUUAUUAUGGUCAACCUUGUGAUCUCAAGCUAGUGAAUUACCUUAUCGAUAAUGCCAUUGCUCUUGAGAAGUUAGUGGUAAAUCCGUGUGACGAAGAAUACUUCUCAGACUUGGAUGAGUUGGAAAAAGUGAAGGAACCUAGAGAACAUACUCUACAAUAUCUCAAGGGAAAGUUAUCUUCAAGAAUUGAGUUGGUGAUUAAUUAACAAAACCAGAGCCUCAUUCACUCGGCAUCCAUAGUACCGUCAUGGUUGACUAUUAUUCUGCAUUUUAAUCCUCUUCUCCUGUUUAGACUUAUUUUUUCGACCGCGGAUAUAAUUUUGCUUAUCAAUUAUUUGUUGUUCAUGAUUUUGUAAUUUGGAUUUUUAAGUUAUGAAUUGACUCUUAUGUGUUUUUACCAAAUAUGGGAAAGUGGCAAUGCCACGAAUAAUGGAUAUUUGUGGUUUUUAUUUUCACUUUACAAAUGGCUAACAUCUUUUAAACAUGAGAGAGGUAGGUAGAUCACAGGCUCUUUUGAACUCUGCUUUGUUUAUAUGUUCUUUUGAUCACAUUCAAAAAGACCACUAAAACCCAAACACAAAUGGCCAAUAUCGCUGCACUCUUAUAGCAAGUUUACGAUGCAUUCGCCGAAGCGGAGGGUGCCAUACAUAUGGUCCAGAGAAGAAGACAGAGGCGCAUGUAAGUAUCUACAAGACAUUAUCCAAAUUAUUUAUUUGUGUUUUGCUCUAAUAGAUUUCAUUUAUAUUUUCAGAGUGAAGUAAAUGAGGCCACAGUCAUCUGCAAUGCCGCUCGAGCAGAACUGGAUGGGGUUGCUGAAAUGAUCCGACAAGUGGACAUGUUGGUGCUGCAUACCAUUGGACAGACAAGGGCCUUCGUUUGCUUCAUUCCAAUAUUCAAUAAUCGAUGCAAUCUACAUAGUGUGCAAAUAUCGAACAACAUAGCUCGGCAACUGUAAAACAAUCAUCCUCUCUUGUUUGGGAUCGUUGGAGUGCCUAAAUCAAGCUUUCUUGGGAAUUGCCAAGGCUAGCUCGGGCUCGCAUAAAUGUACUCACAAGUAUCGUAGACAUUUUGAAUAUAGUCAAAACCAUGACCUUCACAAUCGUCAAAUCGAGAUUUAAAGAGAUUUAAAAUAUUUUAGAUAAAGGAGUAUCUAGAAAUUAUUUUUGGAAACAUCUCUCACUUGCUCACUUGGAUCGUAGAGAGACAAGUUUGUAGAGAGACAAAGGUUUUGGAGAGAGAAGCUCUGAACGAGAAAAUAAAAAUUUGAUUAUGAAGUAGUUGAAUGGAUGCAAUGACAGGAGGGCACCCCUUCUUAUACUAGUAGCCUUUGGAUUACAACCAUUGAUUGUUCCUUGAUCCGGUGGAUGAGAUCCUACCAUCUAACCUACCACCUAUUGGCAUUUAUGUUGAGAGAGUUCUAGAUCCUUGCACAAUUACCAUCUUGCUCAUGGGAACAUUCCGGAAGCUCUUGGGAAAAUUUGCAUUGCAUUUUCCGCUUCAUCGAACUCGUCGUAAGCCUGCUGCAAAUGUGCAAUGAUAUUCAUGUUGUUGGCCAUUUGUGUUUGGGCUAUAGGUGAUCAAAAGAAUGUAUAAAUAGAGCAGAGUUUGAAAGAGUUCGUUUUAAGUGUGAUCAACCGGCCUCUCUCAUGUUUAAAAGAUGUUCACCUAAUCUCCUCAUGAACAAUGAACAUCCUCUUCCCGGAUAAAUUUCUCUUAGUUUCUUCAAUUUUAAUUUGAGCAAGGGAGUGUCAAAUGGAUAGGUUGGAGUCGGGUGGAAAAUGGUCAAAUCCAAAUUGACCCAUUUAAUGUUAUAUUGAUCAAUCCAUUUUUAUGUAAUUCAAUUUUGAUAACUCAUACCCGACCUAAUCACAACCCAAUUCAUAUUCAACUGGACCCAUAUUAUCAAAAUAUGAUAGUAACUUACACCCAUGCACUUGUGUUCUUAUGCAACCCGCUAUAGCCGGUAACAAUGUCCAAGGGAAUUCCCACGUUAAUCUAGGCGCAACGUAGUAGUAUGAUUGGGUGAAUGUUUGUACCAAGUGAAGUGCACUAUCAUUUAGGCACACAAAAAUUUGCUUUUGACUAGAUUGACUAGACCGUAAUUAGAUAAAUACGUUCUCCUCCUACUACCACUUUAAUCACCAACAAAAAGGUAGAAGCACAAGAGAAAGAUACACUAAAAACUAGAAACAUCAAUUAUUCAUGGCCUUGACACUUCCCAUAUAACUUAAAAAUCCAAAUUAAAAAAUCAGGAACAACGAAUUAUUAAUAAGCAAAAUUAUAUCUGCCGUCGAAAAGAUAAGUCUAAACAAAGGAAGAUGAUCAAUGCAGAAUAAUAACCAACCAUAUAGUACUAGGGAUGCCAAGUGAAUGAGGCUCUGGUUUCGUUAAUUAAUCACCAGCUUAAUUGAAGGUAACUUUUGCUUGAGCUGUUGUAGAGCACGUUCUCUAGGUUCCUUCACUGUUUUCAACUUGCCCAAGUCGGAGACAAAUUCUUCGUCAUAGGGAUUCUCCACUAGCUUCUCAAGAGCAAUGGCAUUAUUGAUAAGGCAAUUCACUCCGGCACUGCAUGUCUUGAUUUCCGCAAAGGUAAGGGAAACAGUAACAUGCGAUGCAGAAGAGAAUAAAGAAAAAAAAAAACUGCAUUUUCUUGCGCGGUUUUGUUUGGAUCUGUAUAUUUAUCUGGAUUUAGGGGGUGCCCAGGUGCUCCAUUUUUGGUAUUCGGCGAUUUGUUUAAAGAAGAUUGAAUUUUUUUUACCCAUUUUGGAUUAUUUUAAGGAUUCUCGGUUGGAUUAAGGAAGAUGGGCGGUUUCGCCUUUUUAUUUUAUUUCAUUUUUAUAUUAUCGAUGCGGAUAUUUAAUGAAUAUUUGCACCAUUCUGAGAUUUACCAAACGAAAAAAAAUGAUAUCUUUUGGUUAAUUUCCGAUCGGUUUUGAUCCGGGUAAAAUGAGAGAUUUUCGGCCGAAAUGUCGAUUCUGAUUGUUUACAUCAUUUUAGAAACUUUCAUUGUGAAUAGGAUUUUUGGGUUUUCUACGCGACGAAAUUUGAUUUGAGUUUCUCUUGAUUCGAGUGAGAUUUUCUUAAUUUCGUGCAGGCGCGUGCAAGAAGGGCGACUCGUGCGAGUUCGCCCACGGCGUGUUCGAGUGCUGGCUCCACCCGGAGCGAUACCGGACGCAGGCGUGCAAGGACGGGCAGAGCUGCCGCCGCCGCGUCUGCUUCUUCGCCCACUCCCCCGACCAGCUCCGUGUCCUCCCCGGCCAGCAGCAGCAGCAGCAGCAGCAGCAGCACAGCCCCAAGAGCGCCACCGACUCCGAGUUCGGGUCCCCGGUCCGCCCCUCCGCCGCGGCGGCGGCGGUGGCCUUCGACUCCUACCUCACCAAGCCGUGGUCGGCCUUCUUCAUAUCCUCGCCCACCUCGNNNNNNNNNNNNNNNNNNNNNNNNNNNNNNNNNNNNNNNNNNNNNNNNNNNNNNNNNNNNNNNNNNNNNNNNNNNNNNNNNNNNNNNNNNNNNNNNNNNNNNNGCAUGAGGAACAUGCAGAUCGCCAAGAUGAAGAUGAGCCCCCGCGGGCAGAUGGGGGGGUCUCUCUUCGGUUCCCGCUCCGACCCGGGUGCCACCUUGCGGCGCCGGUGACUCCCAGGGCCGAGUCUUCACCGCGGUACGGGCAACUCGGCGGUGGAGGCGGGCUCUUUGAUCUGUGGGAGUCUCACCGUCGCUGCGAGGAGGAGCCUUCGAUGGAAAGGGUCGAGUCCGGGAGAGAUUUGAGGGCUAAGAUGUACGCCAAGCUCAGCAAGGAGAAUUCCCUCGAUGGAACCGACCUUGUCGGGUCCGGAACCGGACCCGGACCCGACGUGGGUUGGGUCUUUGAGCUGGUCAUGUGAAAGGCCGAAGAAGCAGCAGCUUCGAGUCCUCCCCGAGUCGACUCGGAGCUCGAAUUUUGUUUGGGUCGAAAGAAGUGAUUUUUUGGGGCUGGUGGGUGGUGUUCAGCAAUCGGGUGGCCUGUUGAUUAAUCUCUGACUCGGAUGUGUGAAUAUAUCUCGUGUUCAUUUCCAUUGUCGAUGAUGAUUACCUUCCUUCAUCUCAAGGUGUAAAUAUUGGCUGGCGGGAGAGAUUUCAAGUCUCUGUUUUGCGGUCCGAUGACUUUCCAGUUCCCUCUCUCUGUAAAUGAAGUUUCAGUAAAUCAUUCUUAAAAUAUUCGCAAUGCAAUUGCAGAUUUCUGUAUAGGAAGAAACAAGAACGUGGAAGUUCGAUCUGGGGUUGGCUUUUUGGGGCUUGUAUUGUUGAUUAUCGUUUUUUGGUCAAGUCCUUGAAAUCUCUGUAUCGUCUCAUUUUCUCGGAUUAUAAAUGCUAAUUUCCCUUUCGUGAGUGCUCUGUUCUUUACUCUGUUCUUGGCUCUGUUCAUGCUUUCUUCCUUCUUCGGACUACAGUGACGGGAAUUAGUCACAUCAUUAGCACAGUGAUUACGAGAUCAAGAGUGGGGAUUAAAGAAACAUAUCUCUCCAACCGACUCUGUCCCCAGCAUGCGGAAAGACCGGUUCAGCACCUGGGUUUAUCUUCCAAGUCGGCAUAAUAGAUGAAGAAAAACCAGAUGAGGUUCUUGAUGUGGACGUGUUUGAGUUGAGUUGAUA